This 226-nucleotide long non-coding RNA is filed under the name Elaeis guineensis (African oil palm). RNAcentral's name for it is "long non-coding RNA (EGUI_LNC073681)". The record is from RNAcentral. Lineage: Eukaryota; Viridiplantae; Streptophyta; Magnoliopsida; Arecales; Arecaceae.
UGUGUGUGUGGGUGGGUGGGUAGAUAGAGAGAGAGAAAGAGGGGAGGGGAAGAGGAGAGAGAGAUCACUUGUUGGGAUUGCUAUUAGGACAGCAAGGAAUAAUGCUAUCACAGCCAUGAAAACAAUACUUCGGUUUGCCAUGGAUGGGCUCUAGCAGAUAAUGUUUCACUAGAACCAGAAUGCCUUGGGUGUCUGUGGAUGUACAAAUACUCAUCUCCUUAUAUAG